ACUUGUUGCCUCGGCGGAUCAGCCCGCUCCCGGUAAAACGGGACGGCCCGCCAGAGGACCCCUAAACUCUGUUUCUAUAUGUAACUUCUGAGUAAAACCAUAAAUAAAUCAAAACUUUCAACAACGGAUCUCUUGGUUCUGGCAUCGAUGAAGAACGCAGCAAAAUGCGAUAAGUAAUGUGAAUUGCAGAAUUCAGUGAAUCAUCGAAUCUUUGAACGCACAUUGCGCCCGCCAGUAUUCUGGCGGGCAUGCCUGUUCGAGCGUCAUUUCAACCCUCAAGCACAGCUUGGUGUUGGGACUCGCGUUAAUUCGCGUUCCUCAAAUUGAUUGGCGGUCACGUCGAGCUUCCAUAGCGUAGUAGUAAAACCCUCGUUACUGGUAAUCGUCGCGGCCACGCCGUUAAACCCCAACUUCUGAAUGUUGACCUCGGAUCAGGUAGGAAUACCCGCUGAACUUAAGCAUAUCA
This 466-nucleotide ribosomal RNA is filed under the name Colletotrichum dematium. RNAcentral describes it as "eukaryotic LSU rRNA". The stretch from base 113 to 266 matches the Rfam family "5.8S ribosomal RNA". Lineage: Eukaryota; Fungi; Ascomycota; Sordariomycetes; Glomerellales; Glomerellaceae. The record is from RNAcentral.